This 241-nucleotide ribosomal RNA is filed under the name uncultured bacterium. RNAcentral describes it as "partial 16S ribosomal RNA". It matches the Rfam family "Bacterial small subunit ribosomal RNA", at positions 524 to 762 of the family's 1533-position model. The record is from RNAcentral.
UACGAAGGGGCUAGCGUUGCUCGGAAUCAACUGGGCGUAAAGGGCGCGUAGGCGGCGUUUUAAGUCGGGGUGAAAGCCUGUGGCUCAACCACAGAAUGGCCUUCGAUACUGGGACGAGCUUGAGUAUGGUAGAGGUUGGUGGAACUGCGAGUGUAGAGGUGAAAUUCGUAGAUAUUCGCAAGAACACCGGGUGGCGAAGGCGGCCAACUGGACCAUUACUGACGCUGAGCGACGAAAGCGU